GGUUUAUGAUUGACUAAAUAUCACAUCACAGGGUGUACAUUAGCUGCCAGCUGACACUGGCAAAUAUCACCUGGUAUGGCUACUGACUACUGGAAAAAUAAUUGUCAUUGUCAACAUCUGAUAAAAUCUUGCUAUCGAUCAAACUUACUAUAACAUUGCAAAUGCCUCUCUAUGUGUUUCAGCACUAAUUCGGGAAGUCCUAACAAAGCAAGAAAUGAUUCUUGAGCAACAGACAUUUAUUUUGCGUCUUCUUCAAGCACGGCAAAACACCCAGGAUUGUCAAAUUGAAGAAGGGCGUCUGCUGGUGCGUGAUAAACAAGCACUAGGCUACAAAAUGUAGAAGUACAACUUGAUAAUGGAGAAUUCAAAGAGAAAUUGAUGAAUCACUUAAGUCUUAUUGGAGGGUGUGACAUAAAGGAUGCAGUCUGGCGGCUAAUGGGGAGAACAAUUUCCAAUAGCCUUGCUAGAAACAUGAAUUGGAAGGGGCUGAACGGGAAGACAUCAUUUGCAACACUGCGAUUGAAGGAUGUGAUGAUUGCUGCAGUUCGAAAAAAUCCACUGAUGUCCAAAGCGACAGAUCAUGAUGUGGAAUCUGUCAUGAAAAGAUGGCUCCAGCUUGCUUUAGAUCGAGAGGGAGGCAGAAAACGGCGGCAAAAAACUCAUAAGAUUUCUCUCUUGUUCACUCAACCACCCACCCUCUUUCGCUCACCAGUAUGUGUCAGAUGUGUGUCAGUAUACUGUGCCUACACAAAUAUUCACACACUAGUCCUUCAUUUUUUCUCUAAUAUUCAUUAAAAUUUUGGAUAAACAAAUGCAAAUUUUUCAAUUUUGUGAAACAUUUUUCA
This is a non-coding RNA of Paramormyrops kingsleyae, 845 nucleotides long. Lineage: Eukaryota; Metazoa; Chordata; Actinopteri; Osteoglossiformes; Mormyridae. The record is from RefSeq and is a predicted model, not a curated record.